ACGGUGGUGGCAGACAAGCAAUGCACGGGCCUCCAAAACCCGAAGAUGUGGGCGCGAUACCCACCCGCCGUGCCA
Molecule: transfer RNA, 75 nt
Filed under: Prosthecobacter sp.
Lineage: Bacteria; Pseudomonadati; Verrucomicrobiota; Verrucomicrobiia; Verrucomicrobiales; Verrucomicrobiaceae
Description: tRNA-Trp
Rfam family: tRNA
About the family: Transfer RNA (tRNA) molecules are approximately 80 nucleotides in length.
Source: RNAcentral